This 245-nucleotide long non-coding RNA is filed under the name Lathyrus oleraceus (garden pea). RNAcentral's name for it is "Pisum sativum (pea) long non-coding RNA (PSAT_LNC000033)". The record is from RNAcentral. Lineage: Eukaryota; Viridiplantae; Streptophyta; Magnoliopsida; Fabales; Fabaceae.
AACCCUCAUGUUCAACCAAGGGCAGGGUAGUCUUCAGUUGGUUUGAACUCGCAUUCAAUUUUUAGAAAUAAAACAUCCCAUCAAGUGAUCAAUCAUAUUGUAUCCCUCUCAAGAGGAUGGAAUCACAAAUUCAAAAUGGUUAUCCCUUAUCUACAAAAGGAGUGAGAUAGUCAGGACCCGUGCAAUAAAUCAAACAAGCAGAAUAUCACAUGAUUUGCUCCGAUACAAAAAAUGAAAAAAAAAUC